CAGAGGGUGUCAUAACAGUACUAGGAAC
Molecule: small RNA, 28 nt
Filed under: Bombyx mori (domestic silkworm)
Lineage: Eukaryota; Metazoa; Arthropoda; Insecta; Lepidoptera; Bombycidae
Description: ovarian small RNA-4698
Source: RNAcentral